Caretta caretta (loggerhead turtle) is the source of this 2441-nucleotide long non-coding RNA. RefSeq lists it as uncharacterized. The record is from RefSeq and is a predicted model, not a curated record. NCBI's taxonomy places the organism in Eukaryota, Metazoa, Chordata, Testudines, Cheloniidae.
AUGGGUGGAAGGAAUGGUCGUGCUCAACGGAGCCAACGGGCAAGGGCUGGGCCAGCACGUGGUCAGCUGCGGGCCAAUGGGAGGCACAGAGAGAGCGAUAGGCCCCUUCCUGGGAGCAGGCAGCCCGUGGCUUCUUUUCCCGCCUGGGGCGUGGCCUAGCGCAGUAUUUCCUCAAGGGCGGGGCCUGGGAAGGUUCUAGAUGGGUCCCAGACCAGUUGAGGGCUGGAUUAACUGGCUCCUAGCCUAGGCAAACAUCGUUUCUUGGGGGGGGGGGAGCCCAUCUCAUCUCAUCUCAUCUCAUCUCAUCGCAGUGCCCCUUUCCCCACCACCCCCCAAGGCCUGACCCAGUGCAGGAUGCUGUGGUGCUGCUUGGGUCAUGGGGGAGGGCGGCCAGGCCGAACCGCAGCAGCACGGUGACCUGCACUGGACAGAGAGGCAGGGAGCCGGGCCCAGCGAAUGUGGGGGGAAAGAGCUGUCCAGCCCCCUCGCUUCCCAGGGCUUCGCUGUCGGGCGGGAGCAGGGCAGAGAAGUGUGAAUGUGUAAUGGUGGGGCGUGAAAGAAGGCAAAGUGCAGCUGGUGGGUUGCCUUAGUAAAAGAUGGGGGAACCACUGACCUUGUGUCCUGCUCCAUUCAGCUUUGGGAAAGGGACCCUGGUACCUGCUCCGGGCAGGCAAGCCCUUCCUCUCCCCCUCGCCACAGUCUGUCCUGGUCCUCUUUGUUCUGCGUGGGGUCUACUCACUAGGGUCUGCCCUGCCACAGGGUCUUUCAGCACAGGCCAUCUCCUUUGCCACUCUCGGGCCCCAUUGCUGCAGUUUAUGUCCUAAUCCCUUGUGGGCCAUCAUUUUAGCCUGGCUGUGUGUCACAUAUGGCCCCCUCAGGCAUGCCCAGUGGUGAUAUCCUGGUGUUCUUGAGAUGCCAUCAUGCUGCUGCCAUUGCUCUUGUGCCAUGAUGCUAACUGUUUAUCUUGUCCACUGUGCACUUUGGCAGCAUGACUCGCAAAGUUUUUCUGAAUGAUAGCAGCAGCACACUGCCGUGUUAGUGAUUCCUCCGCAGGAAUCUCUCCACUCAUGCAGUAGAAGCAUACGCUGAUGGGCAGUAGACUUGUGCAGCUGGUUUAGCUCAAAGGAUGCCCGAUAGUCCCAUCAAAAUCAAGACUGGCCUUCACAUGUCUCUCAUUCACACCUGCCUGAUGUUCAUUUCAAAGGAUAGUGGAGGCCAUCUUAAUGCUCACUAAGAGGCAAUAGCACAGACGCUAGCGUGUUUAGGCAGUCUGACUUGCUGGCAAUAACACAGGGAAGUGUGCAGCCCCCGAUCAGAAGGGAAAGAGACAUAGGUCUCUACCCAAGACAGAUGACAGCUGGGAGCCAGAAGUCUAAAAAUGGGUGUCGUUGCUGGACCAUGGAAGGGGAAUGCAGGUGCAGUUGCCCUAAACUGUGACCAAAUCAUCUAGUGAUUUUUCAGAAGGUGAUCGGGAGACUUUUUGAGUUGCAAGUAUGUUUAUUUGCAAAAGAAUAUGACUAGAAAACGUUUUUAUGUGCAUUAUAAAGAAAGCAUAUUCUGUUGACUUUUGUUACAUUAAUUUUGGCUUAGGACUACAAAAUUCAAGUAUUUAUAUAACUUAUUUUAACUCUUCUUCUAAAUAAAAACAUAGUUGAACAAAUCCUUACGGCUUGGCAACUGUUGAUUGCUGCAGUUGCAAAACAAACUUUUUACCCUAUAAUGGGAAGGGUAUGCAGUCUAGAAGAUUUUUGGAAAUCAAUAUUCUAGGAGCAAAUAUAUCUUUACUGUCAUAUACACUGGAAUGGUAGUAAAAUCAGAGUAAAGCUCUGAGGAGAGACAGAGAUCAGUUAAUUUGCCAGUCAACAGACUGUCAUAUAAGAUUGCUACAGCUAUAAAUAUAGACUUUCAGUAAUCCCUGGCUGGUAUACAAAGAACAUCCAAUGUGUAGUUAGUGACAUCUUUCAAGAAUUUUCUUUUGGCAGAGCUAUGAUGAUAGUGGUCCAAAGACUGUUUUACAAUCAGUUACAAACUGACAGCUAGAGAGGCAUUUGAGUUACUUCUGUUUCAAAGCUCGCAAAAUUAACAUCAAUUUUUUCAUUAACCUAAAUUUUAUUUUCAUAUCUUUGAAUAAAAGCAUCAGCACACAUGCCAGGAAAAGCUGUUUCCAUGAAGUGUUGUUUUAAUCCAGGAAGCUCAGCACAGCCUAAAUUAGAGUGUUGAAGGAAGAACUACAAUGAUCCGGUUAAGGGAAUUUGACAUCUGCUGAUCCAGAUUCUGACUUCAGUUAGAAUGGUGAAAAUGAAGAGUAACUGAGAUCAGAUUAUUGUAAGCAUUUACAAAAACUGAUUCUGAUGUUUGUGUGGAGGCAGAGGGGAAACAACAUCAAUACAAAGUAAUGUCUCUGAAUGCUGUGAAGAGAAUACAGCUUACAUUUUAUACUG